This 253-nucleotide ribosomal RNA is filed under the name uncultured bacterium. Its description in RNAcentral is "partial 16S ribosomal RNA". It matches the Rfam family "Bacterial small subunit ribosomal RNA", at positions 524 to 776 of the family's 1533-position model. The record is from RNAcentral.
UACGUAGGGGGCAAGCGUUGUCCGGAAUCAUUGGGCGUAAAGAGCGUGUAGGCGGCCAGAAAAGUCCGCUGUGAAAACUCGAGGCUCAACUUCGAGCUGUCGGUGGAAACUUUCUGGCUAGAGUCCGGAAGAGGAGAGUGGAAUUCCUGGUGUAGCGGUGAAAUGCGUAGAUAUCGGAAGGAACAUCAGUGGCGAAAGCGACUUCCUGGUCCAGCAUCGACGUUCAGGCACGAAAGCGUGGGGAGCAAACAGG